RNAcentral lists this long non-coding RNA (476 nucleotides) under Elaeis guineensis (African oil palm). RNAcentral's name for it is "long non-coding RNA (EGUI_LNC046248)". Lineage: Eukaryota; Viridiplantae; Streptophyta; Magnoliopsida; Arecales; Arecaceae. The record is from RNAcentral.
AUGACCAGUAUGCUAAAAGCCUAAAAUUGACCAUUAUGCAAAAUAAUCAUGCAUAGUGCUUAAAUGAUCAGUAGGCUAAAAUAGGCGAUUAGCUAAAAGCCUAAAAUGAAUAAAUGAUUAAUUACAACAAAACAAUCAUGCAUAGUGCGACCAAAACAGGAGAGGCUUUUAGCAUGAUCAGUAUGCUAAAACAGGCGAUUAACUAUGAUCAAUAUGACAUAAUGAUAUCGAAGAAGACCAAAACAGAGGAGGCUGGAGGCACGAUGGAUGGAGAUCUAACCUUGGCUCUGGUAAGAUGUUGAAGCCUAGGCUCCCAGCUACCCAGCACGGUGAACCUAAGAGACGGUGAUGGUGGUCAUCGGUCGGUGGACAGAAGAUGGAUCAAGGAGGGCCAAGCUAGGGCUUUUCAGCCUCUUCGACUUUGAGACUUCGAUGGGAAAACUGAGAAAGUUAGGAGACAGAAGAGUAAAGAGAAG